RNAcentral lists this ribosomal RNA (440 nucleotides) under uncultured soil bacterium. Its description in RNAcentral is "bacterial SSU rRNA". It matches the Rfam family "Bacterial small subunit ribosomal RNA", at positions 26 to 480 of the family's 1533-position model. The record is from RNAcentral.
AGAUUGAACGCUGGCGGCAUGCCUUACACAUGCAAGUCGAACGGCAGCACGGGAGCAAUCCUGGUGGCGAGUGGCGAACGGGUGAGUAAUAUAUCGGAACGUGCCCAGUCGUGGGGGAUAACGCAGCGAAAGCUGUGCUAAUACCGCAUACGAUCUAUGGAUGAAAAUGGGGGAUCGCAAGACCUCAUGCUCGUGGAGCGGCCGAUAUCUGAUUAGCUAGUUGGUGGGUAAAGGCUACCAAGGCAUCGAUCAGUAGCUGGUCUGAGAGGACGACCAGCCACACUGGGACUGAGACACGGCCCAGACUCCUACGGGAGGCAGCAGUGGGAAUUUUGGACAUGGGCGCGAAGCCUGAUCCAGCAAUGCCGCGUGAGUGAGUGAAGGUCCGUUAGGGUUGUAAAGCUUCGUUUACCCGAGACUGAGUAAUGACUAGUAUACGG